This is a non-coding RNA of Danio rerio (zebrafish), 709 nucleotides long. The record is from Ensembl. NCBI's taxonomy places the organism in Eukaryota, Metazoa, Chordata, Actinopteri, Cypriniformes, Danionidae.
AGAUGAGGCAACAGAUGGAAACAUGGACAGGAUUCUGAAUGUUCUUGUUCGGUACUAUGAUGAAGAUGUGGGAAAAGUGGCAACCCAGCAUCUAGCCUCGAGGAAACUGAAUAUCGCAGAUGCCUUAUCAAUCACAAACACAUUGACAGAUAUUCUCCAGUCAUAUAGCCUGAACUGGAAUCAGGUUGUUGGUAUACUGUUGGAUAACUGCAGUGUGAUGAGAGGGAAAAAGUCUGGAGUAGAGACACUAGUCAGAAGAGAAAAUCCAUCACUGCUGGAUGUCAGCGGAGACACUGUCCAUAUGGUCUCGAAUGCAGCCAAGGCCCUUUUAAAUACUUUCCAGGGAUUUGUGGAACAAUUUUGCUCUGAUGUAUACUAUGACAUUGAAAAAUCACCCAAACAGAAAGAAAUUUUUUCUGAGUUCCAGUCCUUACUUCAUUGGGAGAAUAAGAGCCUAAUACGUCCCAUCAGCAGCAGGUUCCUGCAAAUGUUAGAUGUGUGCAACAGAAUACGGGACCUUAUGGAUCCAUUGACCGUGCACUUCUACAGCGUCCUGUCUUCUCAUGAUCAACACAAACACAGAUGGCUCCUGAACCAGCUUCUUGAUAAGCAUGCAGUUACAUCUGAUGAGAAGGCCAGGAUAAUAUGUCUGCAACAGCAAAUAGCAAAAUCUGCGAGGAUAGGAAGUGAUGUCAACAAAAAACGAAAG